GGGGGCGAUAUGGAUUCGACGCCGGUUACAAAACCUUAGGUGCAUGCCGAGAGGGUAGUAACUCUCGUAAAACAAUUACUGUAACUUUUAUAGUUGCCAAUGACGAAAACUACGCACUAGCAGCUUAAAAAUCUCUUAGGAGAAAUUUAAACCUGCUUAUCCCGGGGCGGAUGUGCCCAUGUAUCCAAACCGGGAGCUCGACUCAUGGGACCGCUGCCAAGCCCCGCUUGUGACGGAAGCAGUUAAACUUAAAGCAAGCUCGCCUUUCUAAUCCCUGUUCGCCGGGCCAGUGGAAGGUUAAAUAAUAGACGAAAUAAGCAUGUAGAGCCGAAGGCGGAGAACUGACGGACGCGGGUUCGAUUCCCGCCGCCUCCACCA
This 378-nucleotide transfer-messenger RNA is filed under the name Pseudomonadales bacterium. It matches the Rfam family "transfer-messenger RNA". From Rfam's summary of the family: Bacterial tmRNA, also known as 10Sa RNA or SsrA, is named for its dual tRNA and mRNA-like properties. Lineage: Bacteria; Pseudomonadati; Pseudomonadota; Gammaproteobacteria; Pseudomonadales. The record is from RNAcentral. RNAcentral also lists the same sequence under 2 other names.